Molecule: long non-coding RNA, 1028 nt
Organism: Bos taurus (domestic cattle)
Lineage: Eukaryota; Metazoa; Chordata; Mammalia; Artiodactyla; Bovidae
Source: Ensembl
GUCCUUGCUUGAAUCUGUGAAUUCUGGAAUAAAUGAGAUAAUUUUUGCCCUCAAGAUGCUCACAGGCUAAAGAAAAUAGAGAAGCCAAAUUAUAGGAUCAUAGAAAACUGCAAUAAGUUUCUUUGCUCUUAUUAUAAAAUCAGAGAGCUUUGAGAGGACCAGUUUGUUCGUUCUCCACACCCUCCAUGUUUCUUUCUUUCUUUUUUUGGCCAUGUGGUAUGUGGGAUCUUAGUUCCCCAACAAAGGAUGGAACCCCCACCCUUGCAGUGGAAAUUCAGAGGCUAGCUACUGGAUGACCAGCAACAUCCCCUUUAUGUUUCUUAAAUAGAGAAACCUAGACUUACCCAGAGAGGAUUCACCCGAGUUUGCACAGCAUUAGAGACGCACCCUGGUUCUGAACCUAGGCCACCCAACUUCUCAUAGCAUGAGUUAAAGGAAGGCUUCCCAAAGCAGCUUUGGACUCUCUUCUACUUCCUGUACUUGGCAUCACCAUUCUAGGAACCACCUGAUGAAGGAAAACAAAUUACCUAGAGGAGCCAUUUGAGGAGCAAAAGGAAAUUCUCAAAUAUAUAAGGACCCUACCCUUUAAUCAGACACAAUGUCUGAAUCUUCACCAUUAGUAUCAUCUCUCUUUGGAGCAAGUCUUUUUCUACCUGGACUCCUCUGAAGAAGCACAGAAGCACCAGGAAGAAUGACCCUCUGGUCCCUCAGUGUGGGCAAAGCUGGCCAAACCUCCUAGUCCUCUGAGGGAACUUCUGGGGAGAGGAAGACAGACGGUGCAGCUGGGGUUUAGAGGAGGCAUGGGAAGAGAUGUUCCAAGGCAUCAAGCAGAACUUUCUUACCUGGCCCCACCGGUGUAUCUUGUCUCAUCCCUUGAAACACACAGAGGACCCUCCAGGUACAAGAAAUCACUUGCAGAUGAGAAAACCAGAAUGCCUGAUUCACCUUACACAGCAGAUGGAAGUAGAGGAACUGGGACUCAGACUGGAGUCGUGAUGAGAGCCCAGAGUAUCCAGAGGGAGCUACUG